Molecule: transfer RNA, 86 nt
Filed under: Felis catus (domestic cat)
Lineage: Eukaryota; Metazoa; Chordata; Mammalia; Carnivora; Felidae
Rfam family: tRNA
About the family: Transfer RNA (tRNA) molecules are approximately 80 nucleotides in length. Their secondary structure includes four short double-helical elements and three loops (D, anti-codon, and T loops).
Source: Rfam by way of RNAcentral
GCCUGGGUGGCUCAGUCGAUGGAGCGUCUGACUUCAGCUCGGGUCACAAAUCUUGAGGUUCGUGGGUUCAAGCCCCAUAUUGGGCU